CGUAAAGGAGGCUCGUACAACAAGAAGCAUUGGAAAUCAGAACGAAUUGGAAAUAGCAGCAGCAGCAAUAUCAUCAGAAGCAGCAAAUAUCAAUUGUUAAAUGUUAUUAUUAUUUUUAUUUAAUUAUUCUUUCUUUUCAGAUUUUAUCACUAUUAUUAUUUAAUUAAUCUUUGCUUUGAG
Molecule: long non-coding RNA, 180 nt
Organism: Bactrocera neohumeralis
Lineage: Eukaryota; Metazoa; Arthropoda; Insecta; Diptera; Tephritidae
Exons: 3
Source: RefSeq, a predicted model, not a curated record